AGAUGAUUCGUCCUUCCACUGGUACUUGCUAAGGACGAAAUAAAUUUGGACCUGCAGUAAGGCUGCAAGCUGUGCUGCCAAAGCCCAGGGGGUGACUGGUCUAAGAUCACCCAGAGUGUGGCCAGGACUCAGCCUUUGCCUGUGGGGCCCUCCAGCCCGCCUCACUAUGGAGCAUCCUCAGUGCAUACCUGGGACACAGAAGCCAAGGCCCGCACCAGCCUUCACCCACCGAGCCAAGCAGCUGGACUGUCAGACUCGGGGAUGGGCAUAAAAGCAGAGGAUCCGGUGAGAAGUCUGCAUCCUGGAAGAGGGUGCUCCCCUGACCAUGCUAGCACCCUGACCUUGGAUGUCCAGCCUCCAAAACGGCAAUGGCGAGCCACGGGGCAUCUAAAGAGGAAAGGGCUGUGGUCAGAGCAGCCCCUGAGGAGGAUGGAGUGGGCGGCCAAGUUUCAGAAGAAUGGAGGAUAGAAGAAUCCAGGUACUUCCCUGGAUGAAACUAAUAGCCCAAGGACAGACCAGAAAGAAAUCUCACCUGAACUUCCCUUAGGUGACUACCUGGAGCUUCAGGGACAUCAGCUGCCACGACCCCACCCCCACUGCUCCGGGGAGGUCUCCAAUCAGGGAGGCACUGACCUUGGGCACCAGGAUAUUCCCAACGAAAUUGUGUCAACAAGCCACAACUCAUCAGAACCUUCAUCCUAACCCUACAAAAGCCCUAAUCCCUGCUCUUGUUAAAUUGGAAUCUAAACCUUUACCUCUGGUUAUUCAGUGAGUUACUCAUUAGUCCUUGUGCCCACGUUUAGUAUGCGUACAAACCUCACCUUUUCUUUUGUUAAUCUGUCUAUUGUUAGUUAACUCACAUGCCUCCACCCGCACCCCUCAAACCUAAGCUGGUAGAGGAAAAGUUUUUCCUCCCAACACUC
Long non-coding RNA from Eptesicus fuscus (big brown bat), 923 nucleotides. RefSeq lists it as uncharacterized. Lineage: Eukaryota; Metazoa; Chordata; Mammalia; Chiroptera; Vespertilionidae. The transcript is spliced from 5 exons. The record is from RefSeq and is a predicted model, not a curated record.